Non-coding RNA from Acanthosepion pharaonis, 103 nucleotides. The record is from the annotation of a GenBank genome assembly. Lineage: Eukaryota; Metazoa; Mollusca; Cephalopoda; Sepiida; Sepiidae.
UAUGACCAUAUCACAUUGAAAUACCGGUUCUCCUAUGAUCACUGAAGUUAAGCAGUGUCAAGUCUGGUUAGUACCUAGAUGGGUGACCAUUUUGGGAAAACCA